RNAcentral lists this ribosomal RNA (899 nucleotides) under Entoloma tropicum. RNAcentral describes it as "LSU rRNA". It matches the Rfam family "Eukaryotic large subunit ribosomal RNA", at positions 83 to 962 of the family's 3401-position model. The record is from RNAcentral. Lineage: Eukaryota; Fungi; Basidiomycota; Agaricomycetes; Agaricales; Entolomataceae.
GUAACUGCGAGUGAAGCGGGAAAAGCUCAAAUUUAAAAUCUGACAGUCUUAGAUUGUCCGAGUUGUAAUCUAGAGAAGCGUUAUCCGCACUGGACCAUGUACAAGUCUUCUGGAACGAAGCGUCACAGAGGGUGAGAAUCCCGUUUCUGACAUGGACUACCAGAGCUUUGUGAUACGCUCUCGAAGAGUCGAGUUGUUUGGGAAUGCAGCUCUAAAUGGGUGGUAAAUUCCAUCUAAAGCUAAAUAUUGGCGAGAGACCGAUAGCGAACAAGUACCGUGAGGGAAAGAUGAAAAGAACUUUGGAAAGAGAGUUAAACAGUACGUGAAAUUGUUGAAAGGGAAACGCUUGAAGUCAGUCGCAUUGGUCAGGGAUCAACCUUGUUUUAUCUACUUGGUGUAUUUCCUGAUUCAAUGGGUCAGCAUCAAUUUUGACCAGUGGAAAAAGGUUGAGGGAAUGUGGCAUCUUCAGAUGUGUUAUAGCCCUCGGUUGCAUACAUUGGUUGGGAUUGAGGAAUUCAGCAUGCCGCAAGGCCGGGUUUCUAACCACGAUCAUGCUUAGGAUGCUGGCAUAAUGGCUUCAAUCGACCCGUCUUGAAACACGGACCAAGGAGUCUAACAUACCUGCGAGUGUUUGGGUGGAAAACUCAAGCGCGUAAUGAAAGUGAAAGUUGGCAUCUCUGUCAUGGAGAGCACCGACGCCCGGACCAGACCUUCUGUGACGGUUCUGCGGUAGAGCAUGUAUGUUGGGACCCGAAAGAUGGUGAACUAUGCCUGAAUAGGGUGAAGCCAGAGGAAACUCUGGUGGAGGCUCGUAGCGAUUCUGACGUGCAAAUCGAUCGUCGAAAUUUGGGUAUAGGGGCGAAAGACUAAAUCGAACCAUCUAGUAGCUGGUUCCUGCC